AAACCAGCACCUCAAGUGGUCAGGAUGAUUAUGGGGCCUAAAGCAUCCGUAGCCGGCUCAGUAAGUUUUCGGUUAAAUCUGUACGCUCAACGUACAGGCUGCCGGGAAUACUGCAGAGCUAGGGAGUGGGAGAGGUAGACGGUACUCGGGAGGAAGUGGUAAAAUGCUUUGAUCUUUCGAUGACCACCUGUGGCGAAGGCGGUCUACCAGAACACGUCCGACGGUGAGGGAUGAAAGCUGGGGGAGCAAACCGGAUUAGAAACCCGUGUAGUCC
This 274-nucleotide ribosomal RNA is filed under the name uncultured bacterium. Its description in RNAcentral is "partial 16S ribosomal RNA". It matches the Rfam family "Archaeal small subunit ribosomal RNA", at positions 473 to 747 of the family's 1478-position model. The record is from RNAcentral.